GUCUUUUUGUAUUGUAUCUAAAGUCUAACCUGCCCAUUGAAUUUUUAAAAGGCUGCGGUAUUUUGACCGUACAAAGGUAGCAUAAUCAUUAGUUUUUUAAUUGAAAACUUGUAUGAAUGGUUGAAUGAGAAAUUAACUUUUUUAAUAUAAAAAUUGAAUUUUACUUUUUAGUUAAAAGGCUAAAAUUUAUUUAAAAGACGAGAAGACCCUAUAGAGUUUUAUAAUUAAGGUUAUAUUUUUUAAUAAGUUUAUUUAACAAUAUAUAAAUUAAAUUAUUUUAUUGGGGUGAUAAUAAAAUUUAAUAAACUUUUAUUAGUUAUUUAACAUUAAUAUAUGAUUAAUUGAUCCAAUAAUAUUGAUUAAAAAUUUAAAUUACCUUAGGGAUAACAGCGUAAUUUUUUUUUAAGUUCUUAUUAAUAAAAGAUUUUGCGACCUCGAUGUUGGAUUAAGAUUAAAUUUUAGGUGCAGCAGCUUAAAUUUUAAGUCUGUUCGACUUUUAAAUUCUU
This 506-nucleotide ribosomal RNA is filed under the name Phytosciara flavipes. Its description in RNAcentral is "partial small subunit ribosomal RNA". Lineage: Eukaryota; Metazoa; Arthropoda; Insecta; Diptera; Sciaridae. The record is from RNAcentral.